Molecule: ribosomal RNA, 308 nt
Filed under: uncultured bacterium
Lineage: Bacteria
Description: bacterial SSU rRNA
Rfam family: Bacterial small subunit ribosomal RNA
Source: RNAcentral
AUUGAACGCUGGCGGCGUGCCUAACACAUGCAAGUCGAGCGGUAACAGGUGUAGCAAUACAUGCUGACGAGCGGCGGACGGGUGAGUAACGCUUGGGAAUCUGCCUAUUAGUGGGGGACAACCCAGGGAAACUCGGGCUAAUACCGCAUACGCACUACGGUGGAAAGCCGGGGACCGCAAGGCCUGGCGCUAACAGAUGAGCCCAAGUCGGAUUAGCUAGUUGGUAGGUAACGGCCUACCAAGGCGACGAUCCGUAACUGGUCUGAGAGGACGACCAGUCACACCGGAACUGAGACACGGUCCGGACU